This 104-nucleotide small RNA is filed under the name Mus spicilegus (steppe mouse). RNAcentral describes it as "7SK RNA (ENSMSIG00000008237.1)". It matches the Rfam family "7SK RNA", at positions 5 to 104 of the family's 331-position model. From Rfam's summary of the family: 7SK was discovered as an abundant small nuclear RNA in the mid-70s but a possible function has only recently been suggested. Two independent studies have found that 7SK RNA binds the CDK9/cyclin T complex (known as elongation factor P-TEFb). The record is from RNAcentral. Lineage: Eukaryota; Metazoa; Chordata; Mammalia; Rodentia; Muridae.
GUGAGGGUGAUCUGGCUGUGACAUCUGUCACCUCAUUGAUCGCCAGGGUUGAUUUGGCUGAUCUGGCUGGCUAGGCAGGUGUCCCCUAGCUGGCUCCCUCACCA